Molecule: ribosomal RNA, 691 nt
Filed under: uncultured bacterium
Lineage: Bacteria
Description: bacterial SSU rRNA
Rfam family: Bacterial small subunit ribosomal RNA
Source: RNAcentral
AGCGGCGGACGGGUGAGUAACACGUGGGCAACCUGCCUCAUAGAGGGGAAUAGCCUUCCGAAAGGGAGAUUAAUACCGCAUAAGAUUGUAGCUUCGCAUGAAGUAGCAAUUAAAGGAGUAAUCCGCUAUGAGAUGGGCCCGCGGCGCAUUAGCUAGUUGGUGAGGUAACGGCUCACCAAGGCGACGAUGCGUGGCCGACCUGAGAGGGUGAUCGGCCACAUUGGGACUGAGACACGGCCCAGACUCCUACGGGAGGCAGCAGUGGGGAAUAUUGCACAAUGGGGGAAACCCUGAUGCAGCAACGCCGCGUGAGUGAUGACGGCCUUCGGAUCGUAAAACCCUGUUGUUAGAGAAGAAAGUGCGUGAGAGUAACUGUUCACGUUUCGACGGUAUCUAACCAGAAAGCCACGGCUAACUACGUGCCAGCAGCCGCGGUAAUACGUAGGUGGCAAGCGUUAUCCGGAUUUAUUGGGCGUAAAGGGAACGCAGGCGGUCUUUUAAGUCUGAUGUGAAAGCCUUCGGCUUAACCGGAGUAGUGCAUUGGAAACUGGGAGACUUGAGUGCAGAAAAGGAGAGUGGAACUCCUGUGUAGCGGUGAAUGCGUAGAUUUUUGGAAAACACCAGUGGCGAAGCGGCUCUCUGUCUGUACUGACCUAAGUNCNAAGCNGGGUACAAACAGAUAAUACCUGUA